This is an RNA transcript of Triticum dicoccoides, 4811 nucleotides long. RefSeq lists it as uncharacterized. The record is from RefSeq and is a predicted model, not a curated record. Lineage: Eukaryota; Viridiplantae; Streptophyta; Magnoliopsida; Poales; Poaceae. The transcript is spliced from 10 exons.
GGAAUUUGUCGCCGAGCGAUUCCUCCUGACGUUCGCCCCCGCCGCACAGAACGAGGCUUCCUCCCUCCCUCGAACGCUAGCAACCCCGCUCCUCCUUCGCCGCCUCCGAGAUCGAGAGUAGCUGCCGCCGCCGCCCCGCCCCCCGCCAUCCGCCUCUCGCGUCGGCCGCCACUAGCGCGGCUCCACCCCUGUCUCCCCCAUUCAUCCCCAGUACCUCCUCGUCGUUCCCCCCUGCGUGCGCCCCUGCGGCUAACCCUAGCCGCCAAAUCGUGUUGCGGAGAGGGGCGGCCGCGUCGCUGAGGGUGUGGACCGGCUUGGGCGUCGCGGAGCCAACUCCACCCCAUCCCAUCCCACGCAGCCAUCCCAUCCCAUCACCGUGAUGGCCAAUGCGCGGGCUUCGGUGGGGCUGGCGUGGAUCUGGCAGAUGGCAGCCAGAUCAUGUGCACGACGGGCGGCUCUGGCGAGUCGGAGGGACGGCGGCUGAGCUUCUUCAUGGCCUGCUGUGGUUCCAGGGAGAGAGAGCCUCGACAGUGAACCUCCGGUGGCGACGGCACCAACACGAGCCUACCGGCGGCGGCGGCGGCGGCGGCUCGGAGCUGCGGGAGCUCAAGCGUUUGGAUACGAUUGAAUCACAGACCAAAGGUUGUGCACAGUGGAUGGACUAAGUUCCUGCUUUAAAAUGGUGACUGCAUUUAGAGCUGGAAUUUGUGCUUGGUCAGAAUACUAUUCUGCCAUGUCAGCAACGAGCGGUUCAAAGCAUAUGGGUCCAAUGAUGUUCACCCCUUCCUCUGCUCUCCCCUAUUCAUCUUCUGGGGUUCCACUUAGGAAACUGAUCGAAAAGGUAUUGAUGGAUUCCAUUCAGCUUCUUAGUCUAGGGCAGUAAUUUUUCGUAUAAUGGUUCCCUUCAUUUCCCACAGUAUAUAAAUCACCACAAUCGCCACUCAAACUCGCCCUCGAGUCCUCACAUCUUACGAUUCCCUUUUACGUCCUUGGCCUUCCUGUUUGGAUCCCUCAAGUGGCUGAUGGGUCGGAUGGUGUGUUACCCGGCGAUCGCGGCUUCUGGCGUCAUCUACAUAUUUUCCAGAGUUUAUACAAAACCGCAUGAGAAAAGAUCCCAUCAAGUAGUACUCAGUCGGCUGUCUCUCUCCACUGUAGAGUCAGCGGGAUGGAUCGGAGGAACUAGCCAGCGUCAACCAGGCAAAGGUACUCAUGGAGGUGGAGAACGAGUAAGGCCGGAGGCUCUCCGCUCACGUCUCUUCUCUCCACUGUAGCAUGCGCAUGUCUCUUCUCUCUGCAGACCUCCUAUUACAUAGGCAGUACCAGAUCUGAAUUGUUUGCUGUCUCAGAUGGUUUAUUCAGAAGUUCGGAUGUCUCUCUAUCCUUCAGGUCUCGGGCCGGCCUUCUGCACAAUCGCGGAGUCCUGGUUCUUUCAUUCCUUUUGUGUGAAUCUGAGAGUUUCAAUUCCCAUAAUGUAACUAGGAAAUUUCUUAUGAUUUCUGCAGAUCAUAUGGAUUUUAGGUGGCUAAUUUUUUUAGGUCCAAGUCUCUGCUUGGAACUGAGAGUUGUACUGGUUUCUGAAGCUUAUGUUGUACUGGUCUUCUCUGCUCUUUUAGGAUCACUACAUAUUUUUUGUGAGGGAUUCACAUGGCUAAAUGUUAACCAUAUCUAUUGCAGCAUUUGAGGACAAAUUCUGCAUCGUACUUUACCGAUUGCUAUGACCAGUUCAGAUAUCAACAUGAAUUUUCUUUAUUUCUGUUAUUCUGUAUGGUCAUAUAUCAUGUAGUCUCAAAUUCUGAAGGCCUUUUAAGGCACUAGCUCCAUUAAUCUUAUAUAAUGUCUAUUAAUCUUUUUGGACACACUCAAUCGCUCUGGUUUCUUCCUGAUGUCUUUUGUUUCUAUGGUUAACACUGAAGCAGGCUAAAUUUAAGAGUUGGUUAACAAGUUUAUUAAGUGAGGGUGUAUCUUCACCUUUUGAGAUUCAGAAUAGAGAUAUUCCUGCUUGAACAGGAGCAUCGUCGGUAAUGAAAAUUAUGUCUUCGCUCUGCUCUUUCUAUACGUAAAUGAACUCAGCUAUGCAUCACAUAUACUUCAGUUAUGAAUUAUAUUAUCAUAAACGUGUAUUUAAUAUCUCAAUGUCCCUGGUUGUUUCAGAAUAAAAUAGGUGUUGUUCAUCGUGGUCCUGAAAUACACAGUUUAUCUAUAUAAUUAUUGUGAUGGACUGAAAUAUGUGAUUGUUGAUAUAUAGCUAAACUCAUGUUGAUCUCUAUUUUUAUUCGUUUGAAUCAUGUUGUUUUGACAUGUCUAUUUUGGUCUUCACUUUAGAUCUUGCGGUGUGCUACCCAUAUGAAAAAUUAGAUCUAAAGAUAUUAUCAUCAUCGUCCUUACAUAAAUAGUUCAUACGGGACAGGCAUGUUUCCAUCUAUUAUUUCGGGUUUAUUUUGCCUCCUAAGUUGGUUACAAUCGUUUUCUAUAAUACGAUAUGCGAACACUUCUUCUACAUGCUUCAGUCAUUUUCAUGAAAGAGACCACGAAGUUAUUGGAUUAAAACAAUGUUUCUUUCUAUAUGCAAGUGCGAAGUGCAGUUUAGUGGAUGAACCAACCCAUAAAUCUGUCGGGGAAUACGUACAUAUAUUUCGGACUCAAUAUUAAGAAAUUGUCAACACAUACCUCAUUUCCACACGUUUGUGCAACAAUGUUUCUUAUAAAUAGAAUAUGUUAAUAUAUAUAUAUACCUUUUUGUUCCCAGAGAUGUCCCACAGCAACGCGUGGGGUAUCAUCUAGUAUGAUAUAUUUUAGUGCGUGAAAUAUAUUGCCUGAAUUAUCUGACAUCCGAAGCUAUGUACACGUUCUGCAGAAUUAGGAAACCAUGAAAUGUCCUGUUGUUUGAGGUUGCCCCCAUUUGCAACUGGACGUUCUGUGUGUGAUGCAAUUUGCAUGUUGUUUUCAGUGCAGCGAGUUCCAGCUGCUUUGUGACAACAAGCACAGGCGAGCGAACCUACCGUUGAGGUGGGUCGCGCAGUAGAGCAAAUGGCAGAGGUGCCCCAAGCACAAGAUCUACGUUGACCGAAAGGAUGGCUGCACCUUCAUUGCUUGAAGAUAACUACUACUUUGUUGGGUUUUCCUAAACUGGAAUGGCGUACGUUGGACUCUAAAUCGAUUGAGUGCCACGGAUAAACGCAGCAGUAUUAUCCGUAUAAUGAAAGGUAUGGAAGGGCAAUGACGAGCCUUUUUGUUUUAGCAUCCUAUCACUUAAGAUUGAUAUGAAAAUUAUGAACAAUGUUUCAGAUUUCAUUGUCCGAAUGCGAAUAACAUGGCAACCUAGGUACUAUCAGUAGUCAAUGGGAAUUAAUGUUCAGGCCGAAGGCCACAUGUUCUACUUUGUUCUGUCCCCUAUUUGGCUUUCAUAAUCCGAUUUUAGCAUUAGGUGAUUGACCAAUAUUAUAUAGUUAUUAGAAGCUCAAUACGUAAUUUAAUGUGGUUUCAGGGUCAAAUGUCUUCCUGGCCUAAAAUUAAUAGAACAUUUGAUUGGCUAUGUUUCUAUAAACUGUUGGAGGACAGACAUGUGUACGUACUGUUUGACUCAUAGCCAAUAGAAGAUAAAUGGCUAAUCUAGGCUAAGAGUUGUACUGGAUCUUCAGUGUGGAACAAUACUGUCAUUUCUUCUUACUUGCGAGCAUUCUUCCUUGAGAUCAUUCUGGUUUCUAUAACACCUGUAGUGAAGUUUCUGGACAAAUCCAACUACAAAUUCUGGGAACGAGUUAAAUAUUCGACCAAUAUAACAUCCAUGCUGAACUAGCUACCUAUCCUGCACAUGGAACACAUCGUCAAGUCAAGCGAGUAAAGAAACUAUUUCAAGACAUGUUAGUUCACCAAUCUCGUGUAUUCAGGUUAUCAUAAGAAGAAGCAAUUAGACAUUGAAUCUUUGCGUCACCAAUCCCAGGAAAAAAAUCCCGAUAUGGUAGAGGACUGACGAUUUCCUAACAAUGGGGGCUUAACUUAGUAUUAUGCAUGAAGCAUCAAUACGGAAAAGCCAUGGAGAGACAAUUUAUAAUUAUCAUAAAGGCACCACCGAUGUCCUAGCUCGACCCACUAGCGCCCGUCACCAAAGUACAAGGAGUUGGACUCGGAGUCCCUAUUGUUGUGAAGGAUUUUAAGGAUUUUGUUGAUGUCGUCAUGUCUGGUGAUGGGUCAUGAGGGGAGGAGGAGGUCCUGGGCCAUUCGAUUAGUGAACUCGACCCACUAGCGCCCGUCACCAAAGUACAAGGAGUUGGACUCGGAGUCCCUAUUGUUGUGAAGGAUUUUAAGGAUUUUGUUGAUGUCGUCAUGUCUGGUGAUGGGUCAUGAGGGGAGGAGGAGGUCCUGGGCCAUUCGAUUAGUGAACUCGACCCACUAGCGCCCGUCACCAAAGUACAAGGAGUUGGACUUGGAGUCCCUAUUGUUGUGAAGGAUUUUAAGGAUUUUGUUGAUGUCGUCAUGUCUGGUGAUGGGUCAUGAGGGGAGGAGGAGGUCCUAGGCCAUUCGAUUAGUGAAGUGAGGUUUUUUGCUUUCCGUUGCAACGCACGGGCAUUUGUGCUAGUAUCAAGACAAUAUAAGUAUUGACGAAAAUAAAUGGAAGGUAUAGUUAUCAUUGGGGAUUUGAAACAAUUAUAUGUGCACAAAUUGUGUCAGCACAAGGAAACAAAUCACACUGAUGGCUGCAUAUUAUCCUGCAAGGACUUGGCUUGUACUAAAUUACGAGUGCCAUGAAGCAUAUGUACGUCAUCGCUCAUCUUUCAGAAUGUUAUUGAUGCUUCUAGAAUUUGAAUAAACAA